RNAcentral lists this ribosomal RNA (253 nucleotides) under uncultured bacterium. Its description in RNAcentral is "partial 16S ribosomal RNA". It matches the Rfam family "Bacterial small subunit ribosomal RNA", at positions 524 to 776 of the family's 1533-position model. The record is from RNAcentral.
UACGAGUGCGUCGAGCGUUAUCCGGAAUCAUUGGGCGUAAAGGGCUCGUAGGUGGCCAACUAAGUCAGACGUGAAAUCCCUCAGCUUAACUGGGGAACUGCGUCUGAUACUGGAUGGCUUGAGUUUGGGAGAGGGAUGCGGAAUUCCAGGUGUAGCGGUGAAAUGCGUAGAUAUCUGGAGGAACACCGGUGGCGAAGGCGGCAUCCUGGACCAACACUGACACUGAGGAGCGAAAGCCAGGGGAGCAAACGGG